AGCCCUCACCUUGCAACGUAGCCACGAAGAAAGGACCUUCGUUAUCCACCCCAACACCUGAGGCCUCCCCCGAGACAUCCACCUCUUCACCCGAGGCCUCUGUCCAGCCAUCCACCCCAGCCACACCUGAGGCCUCCCCCGAGACAUCCACCUCUUCACCCGAGGCCUCUGUCCAGCCACCCACCCCAACACAUGAGGCCUCCCCCGAGACAUCCACCCCAGCCACACCUGAGGCCUCCCCCGAAACAUCCACCUCUUCACCCGAGGCCUCUGUCCAGCCAUCCACCUCUUCACCCGAGGCCUCUGUCCAGCCAUCCACCCCAACACCCGAGGCCUCUGUCCAGCCACCCACCCAAACACAUGAGGCCUCCCCCGAGACAUCCACCUCAGUUUCUCCGCUCCCCAGUGUACCGGCUCUGUCCACCCCUCCAGCCGCCAUGAGGCUGGCAUCUCCUCUGUCCCGCAGGGGCCGGAAGAAAAGGCAGAGGGCGCAGAGGGGGAAGCACGACAGGCAGAGGUGGCAGAGAGGGCAGAGGGGGCAGUACGACAGGCAGAGGGGGCAGAGAGGGCAGGACGACGGGCAGAUGAUCCGGCUGGACGGGCAGAGGAGGCAGGACGACGGGCAGAGGGGGCAGAGAGGGCAGGACGACGGGCAGAUGAUCCGGCAGGAAGGGCGCAGGCUGGACGGGCAGAAGAAGAAGAUGGUGUUCAGGGAUGAGUAUUCUAGAUUUGGUGAGCUGGUGGCUGCUAUGAUGAGCAGGGUGCAGGAAGAUAAGAGGGCCGAAGCAAUGCACUCUGUGUACAGCCUGUUGGACAGAAGCAAUGCACUCUGGGUACAGCCUGUUGGACUGAAGCAAUGCACUCUGGGUACAGCCUGUUGGACUGAAGCAAUGCACUCUGGGUACAGCCUGUUGGACUGAAGCAAUGCAGACUGUGUACAGUGUGACGACCCCUCCACGCCACUAGGGGUCUUUUCCCUCUUGCUGGCUCUUUUCCAGGUUUCCUGUUUGGAGUGGUGGGUCAUCAGCCCGGUUUGGCUCUGUGGCCGGUGUGGCUCUGUGGCCUAUAUCAGCACUCCUUCUCCAGUUCCCGGGAGAGAUCCCUUCCCCGUUGCAGACGGCUGCGUUUUGACUGUUGUUAUUCUUAUUUCAUUAUCUUUGUAAUAAAUGAUUGUUACUUCGUUCAUCCCUCGUCCGUCUCCCAUUUUAGUUGACACAGCUUAUGAGUCAGGCUGUGUCACAACAGCAUGUUGUACUGAAUCAAUGCACACAGUGUACAGCAUGUUGAACGAAUACAACUUUUCUUCUUUUGCGUAGUAUUGAAAAUAAAACACCAAUCAGGUUUUGAA
Molecule: long non-coding RNA, 1348 nt
Organism: Clupea harengus (Atlantic herring)
Lineage: Eukaryota; Metazoa; Chordata; Actinopteri; Clupeiformes; Clupeidae
Source: Ensembl